GCUGGAUUAUAGGCUGGUUGUUUUCACACACUGCAGCCACACUGUGUUCAAACACAUUAUAAAAGUGAUUUUUGCAUUCUAUGGCACCUUUAAUGACAUUUUGAAAGGAACUAGUGAAAGUGGCGUGAGGUGUGGCCAAGAAUGGUAACCCAUACUAAUUUGUGCUUUGCAUUUAACCCAUCCAAGUGCACACACAGAAGUGAGUAGUGAACAUACACACAACCGGAGCAGUAGUCAGCCAUUUUUGCUGCGGCACCUGGGCAGCGAUUGAGGGUUGGGCACCUCAGUCGUGAGCACUGAAGUUUCAGUCAGAGACUCUGAUCUGCAGUGAGUGGGCAGACAUCUGAUCUUCUUACAUGACAGCUUUGUUUUCAGCACUACCUCAUUUAGUUUGCUGUCUAAUUUUACUUUGGAAGGAGAAAAUUGGACCUUGUUCAUUUUGCUGCCUCAGUGGCUCCAGCAAUAAGAAUCCACAGUGAGACAGAAAGAGACAGUCGUGAACCACACACAAUCACACACACCAUAACUCACUCAAUUAAUC
Molecule: long non-coding RNA, 541 nt
Organism: Cyprinus carpio carpio
Lineage: Eukaryota; Metazoa; Chordata; Actinopteri; Cypriniformes; Cyprinidae
Source: Ensembl